AUCUGAAAUGGAUUAUAGGCAGCAGGAGUAGAUAGGGAAACCAAUGGGAAGACCAUGUCAGCCUUCCAGCGGAGGCUGCCAGAACCAGAGAGAUGGGGGCAGAAGCAGAAACAGAUUCUGGAUGGAUUUCAGAGGUCAUCAUGGACUGGACUUGCUGAUAGACAGAGUGGGAAAGGCUAGAGGUAGAAAGGACGGACCUAGAUGUUUCGUUCGGCAACUGUAUACACGGCGGAGCCACGCGUGGAGCGGAGGACGCAGCACGGAGGCACCGAGGUUUGGGGUGGGAAGUCCACGGUCCUCCUUCCAUCUUCGGAGGUGAAGACAGGCGCGUGAGUGGAAACGUGGAGGAGGCAGGUGGAUGUGGAAUCUGGAGAGGCCCCCCGCUAGAAUGUACGAAGGGCGACUGAUACUACCCGGGGAGAACCAGACAGGGACCAGGGGCCUCCAGUCCAAGCGCCUGGGCAGCUGGUCGUUUACAGGGAGCGCAUCAGAGACGCUGAGGAGUGCCCGCAGGGGUGAGAGCAAACCCAGAGGAAACGAUGCCCCCACAGGAAGCGCUGGGAGUGACGUGCUGAGAAGGAGGGAGUGGCCGAUGGUCAGAUCGGCCCGGAGGUGUCAAGGAAGAGGGGGGCGGCUCCUCCCCGUUCCACGCUAACAGACCGUUUCACUUAAACGUUGGUUCGGUGGCCACACAUCCAAAAAAGUGAUGUAACAAAUGCCCCAAAUGUGAAACGCCUCUUUAGACCAAUCAAAGGAGGCUCGGCCUCCCCUGUGAAGUCCAUCCUGUCUUGUACUCUCAGACCCACCCCUUCAAACUCCCAUGAAAUUGUCUCUGUCCCUUCUG
Odocoileus virginianus texanus is the source of this 844-nucleotide non-coding RNA. The record is from RefSeq and is a predicted model, not a curated record. Lineage: Eukaryota; Metazoa; Chordata; Mammalia; Artiodactyla; Cervidae.